RNAcentral lists this long non-coding RNA (371 nucleotides) under Homo sapiens (human). Its description in RNAcentral is "HSALNT0043195". The record is from RNAcentral. Lineage: Eukaryota; Metazoa; Chordata; Mammalia; Primates; Hominidae.
UGCUGCCAGUAUGCCCCUCUGAAGAAUAAUAAAACAAUUAGCAAAAAUCAUAUUUAUAAAUAAAUAUACCUAAAUAUGGGUAUGUCUGAAAUAGAACCAAUCUCUUAUCAGCAUGCUUUAUGCAGCCUGGGAUAGUGGCAGGUGGCCAGCAUAUUAUCCUCUAAUCCAUGCUAGUCUACCUCCUAAAUGUUAUAAAUAUUCAUGUAUGCCAUAGAACUAGGAAGGACUUUAUUCAAACAUUUUUUUGAAUAUUCCUUUAUGUUCCCCCCAAAUAAAAGAAUGUGUGAAUUCUCUUUUGUUCAUACCCAUAAAUCCUGAAAACCAAUAAGCAACAAAUUCUCUAAUCCUUAUUUCAUACCUCAAGGGUGAAG